GACGAACGCUGGCGGUGUGCUUCACACAUGCAAGUCGAACGAGGUAGCAAUACCUAGUGGCGGACGGGUGAGUAACGCGUGGGAAUCUGCCUUUAGAUGGGGGAUAACGGGUCGAAAGACUCGCUAAUACCGCAUAUGACGAAAGUUGAAGGAGUAAUCCGUCUAAAGAUGAGCCCGCGUCCGAUUAGCUAGUUGGUAGAGUAAAAGCCUACCAAGGCGACGAUCGGUAGCUGGUCUGAGAGGAGUGAUCAGCCACAAUGGGACUAGAAGACACGGCCCAUACUCCUACGGGAGGCAGCAGUGGGGAAUUUUACGCAAUGGGCGAAAGCCUGACGUAGCGACACCGCGUGAGCGAAGAAGCCCC
Molecule: ribosomal RNA, 364 nt
Filed under: uncultured bacterium
Lineage: Bacteria
Description: bacterial SSU rRNA
Rfam family: Bacterial small subunit ribosomal RNA
Source: RNAcentral